This 424-nucleotide long non-coding RNA is filed under the name Phascolarctos cinereus (koala). Its description in RNAcentral is "lncRNA (ENSPCIG00000033031.1)". The record is from RNAcentral. Lineage: Eukaryota; Metazoa; Chordata; Mammalia; Diprotodontia; Phascolarctidae.
GAAUGCUGACUAUUUGACAAACCAGAGAAAUGCACCUUUGACUGCAAGACUGUUAAAUUCCUGGCCCAGCUAUCUUCCCGGAAGGACUUCAAAUGGACCUUUACAAGUUAUCUACAAUGAUAGACUAAGAACAACCUACCAAGGGCUGAAUUGUAACCACAGGUGCUGCGACAAAGAACACUUUAAAGAUGCAUAAAAGUCUGUUUAAAGUGAAGAGAAAGAACUGGAUAAAAUAAUGAGGCCUUAGACAUAACCUUCGUGUCAAAAACUUUGAUUUUAUAGAUGCAUAAUAAUAAUUCAUGUUUUAUAUGAUGCUUUUUAAGGUUUAUGAAGUGCCUCACAACAACCCUGUCAGGUAGGUUGUAAAAGUAUUAUUAUUCCAAUUUUAUAGAUGAGUAAACUAAAACUCAGAGAGUAAGUAAAG